UCUGCAGGCUUCGAGCCCCGCA
Molecule: unclassified non-coding RNA, 22 nt
Filed under: Chlamydomonas reinhardtii
Lineage: Eukaryota; Viridiplantae; Chlorophyta; Chlorophyceae; Chlamydomonadales; Chlamydomonadaceae
Description: small RNA Cre_2778
Source: RNAcentral